RNAcentral lists this transfer RNA (87 nucleotides) under Planctomycetaceae bacterium SCGC AG-212-F19. It matches the Rfam family "tRNA". From Rfam's summary of the family: Transfer RNA (tRNA) molecules are approximately 80 nucleotides in length. Their secondary structure includes four short double-helical elements and three loops (D, anti-codon, and T loops). Lineage: Bacteria; Pseudomonadati; Planctomycetota; Planctomycetia; Planctomycetales; Planctomycetaceae. The record is from Rfam by way of RNAcentral.
CGUCAAGUGGUGGAACCGGUAGACACACGGCGCUCAGAACGCCGCGCCACCGCAAGGGGCAUGGGAGUUCGAAUCUCCCCUUGACGA